RNAcentral lists this ribosomal RNA (681 nucleotides) under uncultured nitrite-oxidizing bacterium. RNAcentral describes it as "bacterial SSU rRNA". It matches the Rfam family "Bacterial small subunit ribosomal RNA", at positions 21 to 696 of the family's 1533-position model. The record is from RNAcentral.
GGCUCAGGACGAACGCUGGCGGCGCGCCUAAUACAUGCAAGUCGAGCGAGAAGACGUAGCAAUACGUUUGUAAAGCGGCGAACGGGUGAGGAAUACAUGGGUAACCUACCCUCGAGUGGGGAAUAACUAGCCGAAAGGUUAGCUAAUACCGCAUACGAUUCCCGGACUGCGGUUCGGGAAGGAAAGCGAUACCGUGGGUAUCGCGCUCUUGGAUGGGCUCAUGUCCUAUCAGCUUGUUGGUGAGGUAAUGGCUCACCAAGGCUUCGACGGGUAGCUGGUCUGAGAGGACGAUCAGCCACACUGGCACUGCGACACGGGCCAGACUCCUACGGGAGGCAGCAGUAAGGAAUAUUGCGCAAUGGGCGAAAGCCUGACGCAGCGACGCCGCGUGGGGGAUGAAGGUCUUCGGAUUGUAAACCCCUUUCGGGAGGGAAGAUGGAGCGAGCAAUCGUACGGACGGUACCUCCAGAAGCAGCCACGGCCAACUUCGUGCCAGCAGCCGCGGUAAUACGAAGGUGGCAAGCGUUGUUCGGAUUCACUGGGCGUACAGGGAGCGUAGGCGGUUGGGUAAGCCCUCCGUGAAAUCUCCGGGCCUAACCCGGAAAGUGCGGAGGGGACUGCUUAGCUAGAGGAUGGGAGAGGAGCGCGGAAUUCCCGGUGUAGCGGUGAAAUGCGUAGAGA